UACGUAGGGGGCAAGCGUUGUCCGGAAUCAUUGGGCGUAAAGCGAGCGCAGGCGGCUCGGUAAGUCUGGUGUUAAAUCUCACGGCUCAACCGUGGGGCGUCACUGGAUACUGCCGGGCUUGAGUCUGGGAGAGGGUAGUGGAAUUCCUGGUGUAGCGGUGGAAUGCGCAGAUAUCAGGAGGAACACCUAUAGCGAAGGCAGCUACCGGGAACAUGACUGACGCUGAGGCUCGAAAGCGUGGGGAGCGAACAGG
Molecule: ribosomal RNA, 253 nt
Filed under: uncultured bacterium
Lineage: Bacteria
Description: partial 16S ribosomal RNA
Rfam family: Bacterial small subunit ribosomal RNA
Source: RNAcentral